UAAUACGGAGGGUGCAAGCGUUAAUCGGAAUUACUGGGCGUAAAGCGCGCGUAGGCGGUUUGGUCAGUCAGAUGUGAAAGCCCUGGGCUCAACCUGGGAACUGCAUUUGAUACUGCUGAACUAGAGUAUGGUAGAGGUAAGUGGAAUUCCAGGUGUAGCGGUGAAAUGCGUAGAUAUCUGGAGGAACAUCAGUGGCGAAGGCGACUUACUGGACCAAUACUGACGCUGAGGUGCGAAAGCGUGGGUAGCAAACAGGAUUAGAUACCCUGGUAGUCCACGCCGUAAACGAUGUCAACUAGCCGUUGGAUCCAUUUAAGGGUUUAGUGGCGCAGCUAACGCGAUAAGUUGACCGCCUGGGGAGUACGGUCGCAAGGCUA
Molecule: ribosomal RNA, 377 nt
Filed under: uncultured Gammaproteobacteria bacterium
Lineage: Bacteria; Pseudomonadati; Pseudomonadota; Gammaproteobacteria
Description: bacterial SSU rRNA
Rfam family: Bacterial small subunit ribosomal RNA
Source: RNAcentral